GCUGUACAGAUUUCCUUACAUUGACCAGAUUUGAGGGUGACACUUUCAGAAGAGUCUCCUGUUUAAGAGUGGAAACCUUUACAUACUAAAUCUCUCUAAAGGACCUUUUAUACUUGACAAAAAGAGUGAAGGUCAUGAUGCCUAAUGAUGAUGUCACUGAAAACUCUCAUGGACUACCUGAUGAACAACUUUCCUUACAUUGACAAGAUUCAAGUUUGCACUUUAAAGGCUCCACCAAGGGACGACUGACACUGAAGCAGACGCGCACGGUCAAAUAUCAGAUGGAGCUCAGUGAGUCUCACUGAAGAACUGAAGAAAGGAC
Non-coding RNA from Rattus norvegicus (Norway rat), 322 nucleotides. NCBI's taxonomy places the organism in Eukaryota, Metazoa, Chordata, Mammalia, Rodentia, Muridae. The record is from RefSeq and is a predicted model, not a curated record.